GACGAACGCUGGCGGCGUGCUUAACACAUGCAAGUCGAACGGUAAGGCCCUUCGGGGUACACGAGUGGCGAACGGGUGAGUAACACGUGGGUGAUCUGCCCUGCACUUCGGGAUAAGCCUGGGAAACUGGGUCUAAUACCGGAUAGGACCACUGCCUGCAUGGGUGGUGGUGGAAAGCUUUUGCGGUGUGGGAUGGGCCCGCGGCAUAUCAGCUUGGUGGUGGGGUGAUGGCCUACCAAGGCGACGACGGGUAGCCGGCAUGAGAGGGUGACCGGCCACACUGGGACUGAGAUACGGCCCAGAGUCCUACGGGGGGGAGCAGUGGGGAAGAGUGCACAAUGGGCGCAAGCCUGAUGCAGCGACGCCGCGUGAGGGAUGACGGCCUUCGGGUUGUAAACCUCUUUCAGCACCGACGAAGCGCAAGUGACGGUAGGUGCAGAAGAAGGACCGGCCAACUACGUGCCAGCAGCCGCCGUAA
Molecule: ribosomal RNA, 478 nt
Filed under: uncultured bacterium
Lineage: Bacteria
Description: partial 16S ribosomal RNA
Rfam family: Bacterial small subunit ribosomal RNA
Source: RNAcentral